CCCGAGUAGCUGGGACUACAAGCGUGUGCCACCACGCCUGGAAAACAACAACAGUAACAACAACAAAAACUCAAGAAACAGGAAUGCAAGCUCUACAUUUUGUUAAACUAAGGACAUUUCUUACUCGUAACAAUCAGAUAUAAAAAAGUGCUGCCACAGGGGCAAGAAUGAUGCUCAGAAGGUCUUUAAUGGCUACAAAUCUUGGAUUAAGCUGACUGAGCAGUUCUUACACCGAGAAGCAAAACAACAACCUUUUGUUUCAAGAAACAGGAUAUUCCACUAUAAAGGUAAAACUUAUAAAAACAGAAAACCUAAAAAGGAGAAAUCAG
This 329-nucleotide long non-coding RNA is filed under the name Homo sapiens (human). Its description in RNAcentral is "HSALNT0376574". The record is from RNAcentral. Lineage: Eukaryota; Metazoa; Chordata; Mammalia; Primates; Hominidae.